Molecule: ribosomal RNA, 250 nt
Filed under: uncultured bacterium
Lineage: Bacteria
Description: partial 16S ribosomal RNA
Rfam family: Bacterial small subunit ribosomal RNA
Source: RNAcentral
UACGUAGGGGGCGAGCGUUGUCCGAAUUUACUGGGCGUAAAGCGCGCGUAGGCGGGCUCUUAAGUUGGUGGUGAAAUCCCGAGGCUCAACCUCGGAACUGCCUCCAAAACUGUGAGCCUUGAGGUAUGGAGAGGGAAGUGGAAUUCCAGGUGUAGCGGUGAAAUGCGUAGAUAUCUGGAGGAACACCCGUGGCGAAGGCGGCUUCCUGGUCAUAUCCUGACGCUGAGGUGCGAAAGCUAGGGGAGCGAAC